UUGUGUUGGAAAGAAACCAGUUGAUGUUGGAGAUUGCUGCGGUGCCUGUGGAGACUGCUGCUGCUGCUGCUGGGUCUGGCUCUGAUUCUGGGCUGGUGAAAGAGGAGGUGGAGGUGGCGGCCCACUUGGCCUUGGAAAGCCUGGAGGUGGCAUGUUCGGCAGUGGAGGUGGCAUGUUCGGCAGUGGAGGUGGCAUAGAGCUGGCCAGCAUCCCAAAAGGUCCCAUUCCAAACAUUCCUCCACCAUUUUGACUGAAUUGCUGCACAAGUGGUGGCAGUGGAGGGGGAGGUGGUGGAAAUGCACCCGGUGCUUGAUUUGCCUGCAGCGAUGGCUGCAUGCCUCCAAGAGAAGUAGGCGCUGCUCCAUUCUGCUGUGCUUGUGGCAAUUGCCCAAAGAAAGAGGGAGCACCCAUGUCACCAGUCUGCGUAGGAUUCUCGAUUCUAGGCCGCUUUGGUAUCUGGAACCCUGGAGGCCCUUCCGAGAGCUCUACGGAAGGCGAGCUGUUCAUGGAAGCAGCUUGUUCAGCAACAAGGGAGGCCAAAAUGGAGGAGAGCACCUGCUCCGGAGAUGCCAAAGAUGCAAGUUUAUCUGCCAUAGCUGCUGCUGUUUUCUUGGGCUCAUCAUCUGCAGCACUGGCUGUGCCUGAAAGCGGGAUUGCUGGAUGUGGUGGUUGAAACUGGGAAGUUAUUGGGCUUAUUGCUGCAUUCUGCAUCAUCGCAGCAGUCUGCUCUGACGGAAUUGUGGUCAUGAGUGUACUAGAACUAGACCAUGCCCGAUUAGUAGCAUGGGCACCACCAAAUCGUUGUCUUAGUUGCACGGCAUGUUCAGCCUCUGCUCGAGCAACCUGUGUCAAUUAACUCUAAUUAGCUGCAGGUCACUUCAGCUAUUUUUCAAAUAACUCCUAUAACACCACUACAGAGACAGGCAAAAAUAGCGCAAACUGAGAUGGUAGAUAGCAAUGUUGAACAAAGUUAAUUGUAACCUCAUACAAAAAUCCAGCAACAAGUGACCAGAAAUGGAUACAAGAUAUGCAGAGAAGCUACAUGUUUGGGUUCUGAACAUGUAAACAUAUCCCUCCCACGAGAACCCCCGAACUGUCUAAUGCAAGCUGGUUAGCUUCACAACUCAGAAGAACAUGUUACCUGAAGCAGUCUAAGCGGGAGGUGGCCUACUGUAUUGAAAAAACAAUGGGAGAUUGCAAGCCAUAAGAGGCAGAUUUGUGCUUGAAGUGGGAAGUUAAAACAUGUCAGCUAACAUGUACCCACUUCCCAAUCAGACCAUGGCUAGCGUACUAGCUUCCAUUACAAAGCAGAACUGCACUGCAGAUUCACUAGUUGUUACCGACCCUAUUACAGCAUCUCUAGCAGAACCCCUAAAAGGUACUCCCUCCGUCCCAUAAUAUAAGAACGUUUUUUGACACUAUACUAGUAUAGAAAACGUUCUUAUAUUAUGGGACGGAGGGAGUAGUAUAUUUGAGGGGGGGUAUUUCUGUUUAGGGAAUUAAUUAACCCCUAGCUAGCAGAUCCCCUAAACGUAAAACUCCUUCAAAUUAUAAGGAAACAUCCCUUGAAAAAACACCCUCUGGACUAUAUUUAGUCCAACGAGGGCAACUCUCAGGAUAAACAGGAGAGACGCGCGUGCCUGCAUGGCUCCUACAAGGCGCUCCUUGACGACCCGGUUCCUAUCCAAGCCACCGAGUGGGCGCGACUGUCGGUGUUCGAGCACAACCAGUACCUCGAGGAGGGGGGAGUCGUCCCCCGGAUCCAUCGCAGGGAAGAAGGCUUUCUUUGAGGAGAACUACGGUAGGAAGCGGAAGAGAGCUGUUGUUGACGAGGAUGACGAGGGGCAUGAUGUUGAUGCGGACGCUGUGUAUAGCUGCGUUGGGGCCUGGUCAGCAGACCCCUCGUGUAUGACGGAUGAGCCUGCUGGGGGAGGGGGAGGAGACCCACGGCGUGGAUUGGGAUGCUCCGGAUUGCGGUGCCAUUGUCAAUGUGUCUCAAGAUCUGACAACCGGAUUGCAGCGCCAUUGUCACACAAGCAGCAUGAUGAGCUGCAAGUUGCUGAAGCGACAAACAGGUUGAAGUUGGAUACUGGAUGCAUCGUGGCUGCUGUUCAUACAGUUGUGAAGCAACCAUUGCAGGUGACUUCUCAAACGGGAAUUUUGUUCAAAGUGUACAGUUUGAUGGUACUAAGUAUUUCAGAGCAUGUGAAUUCUUUGCACGACAGUUCGAUUGUUAAUCAUGGCAUACCAGAUUCUGUCAAGAAAAAGAGGCAUCCGAAAAAAGAGGGUAUAUUAGAGCUGUGUGUGUGUAUGUAAUGUAGGUGUUUGACGAAUUGUGUGAGCCAAAUAUAAAUAUGGGGUGAGUUUAGGGGAUCUGCUAGAUGAAGAAAACUUUAAUCCCCUAAAAAUUAUAAGGAAAUGGGAUAAGGGAUAGGUUUUGAACUUCUAGGAUAGGGGGUCUGCUAGAGAUGCUCUUAGAGAGGAUUCCCUUUGCAUAUAAACGUGCUCCCUAUAUUGUUUUCUUUCUUUAUCCGUUAUCACGCUACUCAAUACUCAUCCAAAAAAUUGCAAAUUCAACAGAAUGUCAAUGACACGGUAAAAUUCUAGCUAUGCCUACAUGCCAUGGAGCUCUUAACAAACAUCAAGUUUCAAGAAUGGUGCCCAAAUCAUCGCGAGAUGGACAAAUGGCUGGCACAAGGCAAACAGGAACCAUAAUGAGGACGCUGAUGAAUCCAAUAAAAUGCACGACACAAUCAUGUAUUUAGCUAACGAACUUUAACUUCUAAUUGGGCAAUAAGAGCAAUAGGCAUCAGAAAAAAAUAAUGACCACAAAUGUGAUCUCCCAGGGCAUAUCAAUAGUUCAUGACAGAUGAAAAAGGAUGAUCACACGUAAGUGGGUAUGAGAAUAUUACUUACUUGCAACUGAUUGCGAAGAAGCUCUGACUUUGUUUCCUAUUACAUGCAAACAAGAAAGAAUAUAAAGCUUUGUUUACAAGCUAGAUGGUAUGCAUAAAAAUUCAGGAUAGAACAUUUCAAAGAUGAUAAAAUAGGUGCUAAGGACCUCUUCACUAAGGGCUUCUUUUAGGUUAUUGAUCAGGGUUAUCCUUGCCGCAUCAAAACUUUCAAGUUGCUCAAUGCACUGCUUCAGAAUCGCUUCCUGUUCUUGAAGGUUGAAUAUCAGUGACGACGCUUGCUGGAUAUCUACGGAAAAAAUUACUCAAGCAUUAGUACUAUCUAUUUGAUACUUAUACUCGGGUUAUGAAGUGAAAACAGAUUAUAAUGUUGCAUUGUAUUAUACUGUCAAAGCAUCAGAGUUUUUUUCGUGUCCAGUUUUUUCUUACUCUGGAAACCCAGAAUUCUAGUGCAAUUUCAGGUUCCAGAUUAUCAGAGGUGCAUAGCUCAACAACAUGGCUAGGGGAACUACUAAUAGGAGCCUAUUCUUGUGCUCUAUAAACCAUGCAAAAUAUAUACUCCCUCGUUCCUAAAUAUAAGUCUUUUUAGAGACUCCAUUACAGACUACGUAUGGAGCAAAAUGAGUGAAUCUACACUCUAAAGUAUGUCUAUAUACAUCUGUAUGUAGUCUGUAGUGGAAUCUCUAAAAAGACUUAUAUUAAGGAACUGGGGAAGUAUAUGGUUUUGAUAUUAGCAUGCAAACUACAAUUAUGUCAAAAUGGACGUCAAAGAGCGAAAAGGGCAAAUGGAGGACGGGCUCCAUGGUGGACUUAGAAAAAACAUACUUCCACAUCACAAAAAAAAAAACAAAUUUUUUGUACAUACACAAAUACAUAUAUAACACGUUCCAGAAAAAUUUCAUAACAAUAUACUUUCAUACGUGGCGUAUACAAAAUAAACAUACAUGAAAAUGGGCCCUUUUGGUUGUUGUUGGGCCAGAUUUUUUUUUUUUUUGUGCAGCUUGCAAACAAUAAUAUUUUUGAACGGAAUUUUACAGAUCAGCGCAAUAUGUAUAAGUUUUCACAGAAUUUUGUUUUUAUCUUGAAAAUAUCAUUUUUGAAUCAUUUGAAAUAAAGUCCACCAAUGUACCCGUCCACCAAAACUUCGCACUCCGUCAAAGAGCCACUAUUUUGAUGGAUAACAUGCAAAGAACGUGGAUGUUGUGUUUUAAAGGAAUACAAAUGCAUUAACCAUCAUCAUUUAUUUCAUUUAACGUGCCCACGUGAUCACAGCAUUAAUGAUUCAUCAACAUACAAAUCCUCUCUAUUUCCAUUAUUUUUUCCCAUGAACACCCACCAAAUCGUAUUUAACGAAAUAUGUGCUCCCCACUAACCUAUUUCACUCAACAUGCAAACAUCCCACCUCAACAUGCAAUCAUGUAUGGGAAAAGACCCACCUCAACAUGCAAUCAUGCAUGGGAAAAGACCCACCUCAACACACAACCAUUCAUGGCAAAAGACCCACCUCAACACACAACCAUUCAUGGCAAAAGACCCACCUCAGCAUGCAACCAUGCAUGGGAAAAGACCCACCUCAGCAUGCAACCAUGCAUGGGAAAAGACCAACCUCAACACGCAGCCAUUCAUGGCAAAAGACGCACCUCAACAUGCAACCAUGCAUGGGAAAACUAUUAUGCUACAUAUAUUCAAUAAAUAAUUUACACUAUCCAAUAAUCAAACACAAGAAAUAUAAAAAAGGCAGCCCGGUGCACAUAGCUCCCGCUUGCGCAGGGUCUGGGGAAGGGUCAAAUAGAUAGUCAAAAAAUCAAAUACAAAAAAACAUAUCUCUGUUCAGUUUUAGUUCUCGUAUUAUUAAUCCAAAUAUUCAUGUUCCAAUCUCAUUGAAAUACAUUCAAUUCCCACAGCAGCGCAGGGUAGCAUGUAGUAGUAGCUUUAAAUAAUGAUGGAACUGGAUGUAAAAUCGUACUGUAACAAUCAUGACACAAGACACAUCAAGAUAACAGAACGCAAGAAAUAAAAUGCGAGUUAAACAUUACGCAAUGGCAGGCAGUUGUCCCUGACAUUUAGACUUAGUGAAGCAAGCAAAAUCCUUACCAUUAGUACAAGCCUCAUCUACAUCUUUAUUCAUCUUCUCCACAACACCCACUGUAAUCUUACAUUUGUUUAAAGCUGUGUCUUCAUCAAAAUAUUGAUCAAGUACAGAUUGGUAUGCAGUUAUAAUCUUUUCAGGCAUCCCGCUAACAGUCAGUUUCUACAGUGAAAGACAAACAACAACAAGACUAUCACUCCCAAAUUCAUCCCAGUAUACUGAAUCAAUAAUAAGUACAAGAGGAACAAAAAUGAUGUCAGUAGAAAACAAUUGUCACUUUACUUUUAUUAUUGGACUGGAAUCCCUCUGAGAAGAUUUCGAAACUGAAGAGGGCUUCGAGGUAGGAUUUGAAGUAGUACUGUUGUUAUUUAAUGCAGGAGGAUUGUCACCAAGAAUGUCCUUCAGACUUUCGCUCCGAGUUCCAAAAACCUUCCGCUCGUCCCAAAUCCCUAUCUGCAGAUACAGGCCAACAAAACGAGAAGUUAUUCUUUUGCAUCUUGGCCUUGCAAUCACAACAAAUAAUUUAUUUCUUAAAUUCACCACAAAAGGUAAUUUCACUCUUGUAAUGCGUGAAUAUCAGGAUAAUAAAUGAAUAGUCAAAAUAAGAUACAACAGCAUGAUACGCAUCCUAAUAGUUCGCUAAAUAACUAAGUUGAUGGUAACCGUAGCAUUAUGAUGGCACCGCCACAUUUCAACCCCUCAGAAUUCCUGGAAAAGUCUAGAGAACAAAUGGACUUUCUUAACCAUGAAAUAGAAGCAACUUACUAAUCUUGCCACUACUUUCUUUCCAUCUUGUCCCCCAUUUUCAUAGAAAUCUUUCAGUAACCCAGGAAGAACCCUCCAGAACUCAUUCACAAAUUCUCCUCCCUUGCGUUUGCUGUUUUGCAGGAUGUCAUUUGACAGAUACAGGAAUGAUACUUUCUUAUCGGUUGUUGCAUUAUUAAACUGCCUCUGCCAUGUAUCGACAACCCUUCUGGCUCUCUUUCGAUGAAAUAUGCACCAAUUAGAAAGUGCUGCUUACGAAUGAAGGAAUACAAUAGACAAGCUAUGGCGGUAUAUACAGCAUAAGGUAAAGAAAAGCAACUAACUAAGCUGGCAUCUGAUAUUCCAGAAAACUGGAAUUGAUCCACGUUAUACGAAAAUAUAAUCAGAGCACAGAAUGUAAAUAAAUCAAAGUUGAGUAUACCAUCCUAUAAUAAAGUGGGACACAUACUCAUACUUCCACAUGUUAAUACAGAAUUAUUUGCCAUAUCUGUAACCUGGCCAACCACAUGUUAAUAUUGCACUCUCAGUCAUCCCAUUCGACUUUGAUAAUUAACGUUUUUGCAUAAUAAAUACCUACUGGCAGAAUUAGAAGGGUUGGAGACCCAAAAGGAGGGAGUACUGUGCUUAAAAACUCAAGUCAUUUGCAAAGAAACACACCAAAGUUUGUAUUUCGUAGUUUCACGAGACUUGAUUAAAAGUUUGAAAUGAUAAACAAAGAGUAACUUUAAUUUUUUUAAAUGAUAUAACAUAGCAUAUAGCAUGUAUAGCAUGACGUGCCUUAGACUUAUUUAUGGUUACGGAAGACACAAGCACAAAGAUAUGCAAACAAUCAUAUGAUCCACAUUUUUGUCCAUGGAAAAGCAUCUGCAUGAUGAAUGCUCUCUGCUUCCUCAAACUCUAAAUAUACCUUUUCCAAUAAAUUGUCGACUGUGAUUGUGUAACCAAUGAGGGUGUAAGAUAUAGUUCAGCCAACUGAUUAAUUGACUCAAAGUCAAGGGCAUGUGAUCGACAACAUUAAAAAAGUUGAGAUAUUUUGCCAAUACAACCUCAGUGGAUCAGUGCAGAAAAAUGUUACUGCAAUCCUGGAGACAUAAUAGAUACAUACCAUCAAAAUAAUUAUGUCAUAAAGAUUGUUCAAGCAACUAACAAAGUGGAGUGGGGUAGGUCAACUGGCAACCAGAAGGAAUAGUUUGAUUUUUCGAACCACAUUCUAACUCUAAUUCCAUGUUAGAGGAAGCGGCGACGUUAAAAGUUGUGCAGACGAAUUUGCUAGCUGGGCAAUGAGAACUCCAGGUAACCUAGAGAAUGCUACUGCGCUGCAAUUUAGACCCCUAAGGCCUUGUUCGGUUAAUCCCUCCCAGGAGGGGAUUGAAGAGGAUUGGAGGGGAUUUAGGUGCAAUUUGACUUGUAGGGGAUUUAAUCCCUCUCAAUCCCCUUCAAAUCUGAAGGAACCGAACAAGGCCUAACAGUUCCUGCCAUCACGUGUCAUUUCUUGUAGAGACCAUCAUUCAAAGUCAAUAGUGCCAAACAUCUUUAUCCCAGGAUUUAAAAUAAAAGGAAAGCAAGCAUUGACAGCACAAUCACAAGUACUCAACAAACCAAAAUUACCGCACAAAUUUUCUUUCAGACAAAAAAAUACGACACAAACUUGAUACGCCACAAUACUGAUUGAACAUCUGAAACAUAGGCUCAUUUAUAUACAUUUCAAACACGAAAGAUAAAACUAAGUUUCUCAUGUAAGAAGACUGAGAGAUCAUCAAAAUAAUAAUCCAGGAGCUACAGAGAUAUUAGUCAGGUUAAGACUGCACUCAUAUGCAGUCUUAUGAGUUGUACUAGUGCACACCAAUAAACAGUACCAAAUAUUUAUGGAGAAAAGAAGACCGUUCACAUUAACCAAUCAAAUGGCGCAGGCAUGGAACACCAAAUAGGAUCUUGUAGGUCAGUUUUUUGUCCUAUUCCACAUUGCAGUUUAGGGUUCUAUUCAUCAAAAUACUAAAAGAAGCAAAGACUACAACAAGGAGAAGCCACAAGCUAUGUUGCUGAAUUUGCGAGUGUGCGAUAAGGACAUCUAAUAAAUAAAUAAAAAGGAUACUCUGGAUGCUCGCCGCUGAGCUGCUGAGCUUAUUGAGCUUCUCGGAGAGCCUCUCCUCGGUGAAGGAGCCGCCGCCGCCGCCGCCGCCAGUUGGUUCGGCCUUUGCAUCUGCCUUCGUGGCCGCCAUCAGGAAGGCUCCACCUAACUCCGCUCCUUCGCGGACCCGCUUAAACCCUAGAGAAAUAUGCACUCCCUGCGCGGACAAGAUCGAAUUAAUCUUGGCGCAGAAAAAUCGCGAGAAGAAGAUAUCAGGAAUCCCGGAGAGUUCCGGUUAACGGCUGGAGCCUACUGGAGAAUAUGGGAAGGGAGGUGCUAACCACGGUUGCGAGCUCCCGAGCUUGAAUUUGCGGGCCGAAGAGGAGAGGGCGGAGCGCUCUUCUGGCUAGUUUUGCUGCCUAGAAUUCAAGAUUGGGAUUUUAUUUGAGUUGAAAUAUACAAAUAAUAAUUGUAAAAGAAAUCGAACAGAUAGCUAAAAUAUAUAAAUAAUAAAAAUAUAAUAAUAUAUCGGAAAAACGGAAGACCACGUGAACCACGGAAACGCGUCCGAGGCAAGUUACCAUUUAUGCUUUUAAAGCCAUCUACGCAUGUGUGUGAGCUAUAAAGCGGGUGAUAAGAUAGAACUCGUGAACAAUAAACGGAAACGCGUUUGAGACACGUUACUAUUUCUACUCUUAAGCACAUUUAUACGUGUUUGUGAGCUGUAAAGUGGACGAUAAGAUAGAACUCGUGAGUAAUAAACGAAAACGUUUCGAAGACAAGUUGUCAUUUCUACUCUUAAACACGUCUGCGUGUGUCCGUGAGUUGUAAAGCAAACCAUAAGAUAGAACUCGUGAACAAUAAAGAUUAUUGUCUUUAUUCUUAAAACCUUCUACUCAUGUGUCGUUAUCGUACUACUCAUGACCGUCAAAAGUUACUAUUUAAAGAUAUAACAUUAUUAACACAAUGAUGCAUACAAUGUACAUUAAAUUGAGGAGUAAUAAAACAAUAUUAUAAUCUAAUCUCGAUUGGUUUGAGUUAUCGAUAGUUUCAAGUGUGAGAAGUGUUAAAUGUGUGAUUUUGACAAUCUAUGAUAAUCUUAAAGAAUCAAGUUGUCGAUGAUUUUACUCUUAACAAGGAUUCAUACGAUGGAAGUAGAAAGAAUGUGUCGUUUGCUUUCGAUAAUUUUAAAGAUAACACAUCCGGUAAAGAUGAUUGAGCAUGUGAAACCUUAACACACAUGUUUACAUUAUUGUUCUUAUUAGUUACUAUUAGAAAAUACUUUGUGUGUUGUUGCUGAAACUAGGUGAUGAAUAUUUGGGUUGAUAACAUAAAAAACUAAAUUUAAAAUACUCAUGACUUAUUAUAUUUGAUUAUGUAUAAUUGUAAAACAUGUAUUGAAUAUUGGUAGAAUAAUUGAAUGGAAAAUAUUUUCUCAUGCGUCAUUGAAUGUGAUAGUGGGUGUUUUUUCAUGCAUGAUUACAUGUUACGAUGGGCCUUAUCCCAUUCAUAAGUGUACGGUGAGGUGGUCUGCUUGUAUGUUGAGAUAAAUAUGUUAGUGGAAAUGACUCCCUUAUGAAAGAGCAUGGUUCCUCUAUGGUUGGUUUUGGUAAUUGAGGGCAAUCCCUAUGAACUAAUGGUUGUUUUGAAUUCUACUUUAAGGUCCAUUCAUAUGCUUUGCUUGAAGACCAUUAGUUGGUUUGAAGGUUGUAAGAAUGAGAGUACGAGUUGACCAAGGUGCUAUUUAAGGAGUUAUUCAAAUAUUGGUCAUAUGAGAGUUGAGCCUAUUACAAGCAUGUCUUGAAUAAAAAGAUUAUGUGAGCAUUCAUAUUUACCUUCAAGACAUCAUCUUUAUGAAGAGAGAAGAUAAGAGUGAAGGUUGAUUGACGGGGGAUAACCAUGAGGUAGGCUCAUCAGGCCUACUCCUCUAUACUUUGGUAUAGAAAGGAGCAACAACAUCUUCAACCGUCGGCUCCUCCUGGCCGGCUGCGAAGUACUUGCCGGCUAGGAGCGUAGUCGUCUACUCUUUGGCUGGCUGGCCAAGCCGCCAGCCGGCUGAAGGGCCCCUGUCGCACCAAUCCCUAGGAUGUGACGAGGGCCUUUGAUUAAAGGUGAAGGUACCUCAGCACGGGUACGAUGGAGAAGCGCACACAUGGCUACAGUGGUGACGGCCAUACCGCUGACCGACGCCGGCUCCAAUCCGUUAACCCUGCACAGUAUCCGUGAGCCACAUCCCACUCCAUUACCUGGCUCGACGUGGCUACAGUGGAGAUGGUCGUACCGCUGACCGGCGCCGGAUCCCGCUAGACGACGUCGGUCGUACCGCACGCGUCGUGCGUGGAAAGCACGCACCAACCCCAUAGGCUCGCCGGCGGGUCCGAGUGCCAGAUGGGACCGUGCAGCUAGCGGGCCCCUCAAGCGACAAGACUAGACCAUAGUGGGGGCCCUGGCCGGCUUGAGAGGCUGCGAGUCGGGUCCCUCAUAAUAUACCUUGUAUCCAUUUUUGUAGGCCGGUGGGUUCGAUUAUAAAAAAACCUGGCCCCCCUCCAUGCAAAGGGGCGGCCAUUCUUGCACCCCACACACACCACAAAGGAGAGGUAGAACUCGAGUCGGCUGCUCCUUCUUCCUCCUCCGUCGAACGGCUCAAGGAGCAUCCUGUAAACACUCUGGUUCGUUAACCACUCCGGCAGGACUAGGGGUAUUAUCUCCCACAGAGAGCCCCGAACCUGGGUACAUCGUGUGUCUUGCUUGCUAGUUACCAAUCCCGUUCCCGGAGCCCGCUGGUGUCCUUUCGGUCCCAACCUCCCUCGAUAAGCCUACCUAUGGCAUCUCUCCUGAGAAAACGACGACGGUUGGCGCCCACCAUGGGGUCCUCCGCGGCACCAGCCGGAGUUACGCUCCGGGAGGGACCCUUCGCCUACUCCACCGGAUGCUUCACGUCCGAACAGAUCAGCACGCCCGUGGAGCCUGCCCCUGUGGAGGUUUCUGCGGUGUUGAUCGACAGUUCAACCCAUCCUGCAGGCUCUGCUGAGGAGAUCGCCUGCAAGCCGCUUUCCGGCGACGUUGCUUCCGACGUUGCUUGCCUCUGCGCUCUCUUCAGCAACCUGCACCUUGACGGGGAGCCUCACCCCCUUGGCGGGGACAUGGACAUCGACGCUCUCUGCGCACACUUCAGCAGGCUCACCCUUGAGGAUGCACCUGCGCGCGACGAGUACCCCUGCGACGUACUCGAUGAUACAUCUCCAACGUAUCUAUAUUUUUUGAUGGUUCUGUGCUAUUAUAUUGUCAACUUUGGAUGUUUUGUAUGCAUGAAUAUGCUAUUUUAUAUCUUUUUUGGGACUAACCUAUUAACUCAGUGCCAAGUGCCAAUUUCUGUUUUUUCCGUGUUUUUGACCUUUUUCAGAGGAGAAUAUUAAACGGAGUCCAAACGGAAUAAAACCUGCGAAAUGAUUUUUUCUAUAACAAAAGAUACGCAGGAAACUUGAGAACCAAGGCAAAUGACCUCGGAUGAGGUCACAAGCCCACCAGGCCCGACCUGGGGGGGGGGCCUAGCAGGCUUGUGAGCUCCCCGUGGCUCCUCUGCCCUACUUCUUCCGCCUACAAAUUCUCCAAAAAUCCAAAAACGCCAAAGAGAGCCACGAAAAUACUUCUCCGCCGCCGCAAGCUUCUGUCUCCGCAAGACCCAUCUGGGGCACGUUCUAGUGCCCUGCCGGAGGGGGGAUUCGGACACGGAGGGCUUCUUCAUCAACACCAUUGCCUCUCCGAUGAUGCGUGAGUAGUUCACCACACACCUUCGGGUCCAUAGCUAGUAGCUAGAUGGUUUCUUCUCUCUCUUGGAUCUUCAAUACAAAGUUCUCCAUGAUCUUCAUGGAGAUCUAUCCGAUGUAACUUUCUUUUGUGGUGUGUUUGUCGAGAUCCGAUGAAUUGUAGAUUUAUGAUCAGAUUAUCUAUGAAUAUUAUUUGAGUCUCCUCUGAUAUCUUAUAUGCAUGAUUUUGUAUCCUUGUAAUUCUCUUCGAGAUGUGGGUUUUGUUUGGCUAACUUGAUCUAUAAUUUUUGCAAUGGGAGAAGUGCUCGGUUUUGGGUUCAUACCAUGCGGUGUCCUCACCUAGUGAUAGAAGGGGUAGCGAGGCACGCAUCGUGUUGUUGCCAUCAAGGGUAAAAAGAUGAGAUUUAUAUCUAUUGCAUGAAUUUAUCCCUCUACAUCAUGUCAUCUUGCUUAAGGCGUUACUCCGUUUGUUAUGAACUUAAUACACUAGAUGCAUGCUGGAUAGCGGUCAAUGUGUGGAGUAAUAGUAGUAGAUGCAGAAAGUAUCGGUCUACUUGUCUCGGACGUGAUGCCUAUAUGUAUGAUCAUUGCCUUAGAUAUCAUCAUGACUUUGCGCGAUUCUAUCAAUUGCUCGACAGUAAUUCGUUCACCCACCGUAAUACUUGUUAUCAUGAGAGAAGCCUCUAGUGAACGCUAUGGCCCCGGGGUCUACUUCACAUCGUAUUUUCAGCUCUACACUUUUACUUUGUUGCACUUUCCACCUUCAGAUCUCACCUUGCAAUUAACCGUGAAGGGAUUGACAACCCCUUCAUACCGUUGGGUGCAAGUUUGUUUGUUUUUGCGCAGGUACAUUGGUGACUUGUCUUGAUACUCCUACUGGAUUGAUACCUUGGUUCUCAAACUGAGGGAAAUACUUAUUGUUACUGUGUUGCAUCACCCUUUCCUCUUCAAGGGAAAAACCAACGCAAACUCAAGAGGUAGCACUCGACUGCAACGAUCCACCAUCGUUCGCGGGGUGUCUUGCCCCGCAUGACGUUGCCAUUACCUCUGAUCUCAUGGAGGUGAUGGUUGUUGGCACUAGCACCAGCUUAGGCCGCAGCAAGGCCGCAGUUGACCCCCCUCCGGGCCCUGCCGAUCCGCUUCAUGACACCCUUGUCGGGCUGACUACUCCCAUCGCCAUGACGGCGAACACAGCUACGGCAAGGGUUGAGUUCGAGGAGGCUCGCAAGCAACUCCUGGUAGAGGGCACCGCCCUUGCCACCGCGAAGCACCGGAUGGAGGCCGUGGAGCGCGAGUAUAACUCCGCUUACGGCUUCACCCCGGUUGCCGAUGGUCCCAGACGGCAUGGAGAGGUCCACGGCCGCGGACGGGUCAUCGCCAAAAUCCUAGGCGGCAAGCUGCCCAUCUACGACACUCCUGCGGCCAACAUGCGGGCUGCACAGGAGGCCCUCACAGAAAUGGGUGCUCUGGAGGGUCAGGAACAUGCUCGCCAAGAAAAUCUCGUCCCCAAGGGUCACCGCGACCCCAGCGGCCGUCAGCAAGCUCAGCAUUCUUCAGCCCCUCGUGCCUCUGGCCGAAGGGCUGAGGGAAGCCAAGACCGGCGUUCCCAGCGCCGGAGCGAGCCACGAGCAGUCUCUAGCCAGCGUCGUGAGGCGGUUGGAGAUGAAGGAGAUUCGGUCCAUGAAGUUCCCCCGCCCGAGCGUCGGGAAAGGGCUAACACUCCCAUGCCCCUGAUCCGGCCCGAGCUCGUGGCUCGAAUCGUCCCUCGCGUCCCUCGCAGCGAGAAUGAUGCUCGUCUCCGCAUCAACCUUCUGGCGCAGUCAGCCCUCCUGGAGGAGGAGGGUUCCAUUGGUCCGUCGUGCUUUGGCCCCCGAAUCCGAGGGGAGCCAUUUCCUACUAGCUUCACUCUCCCCCGCGACACUCCAAAAUACAACGGCUCCGCCAAGCCGGAAGACUGGCUGAUCGACUACACUACUGAAGUCGGCAUCGCCCGGGGCAACAAGCGCGCAGCCGUUCGUUACGUGCCACUCAUGUUGGUCGGCUCGGCAAGGACUUGGCUUAACAGCUUGCCAGCCGGCAGCGUCAACUCUUGGGUUGACUUUGAAGAGGCAUUCGUUCGUAACUUCACCGGCACUUACAAGCGCCCUGGCCGGCCUCGCGAGCUGGUCAUGUGCGUUCAGAAGCUUGACGAACCCCUUCGCGACUACGUCACGUGCUGGAUGGAGUUGCGCAACUCCUGCGAAGGAAGGCAUGAGGUACAAGCUAUUCAGUACUUCAUCGACGGUUGUCGAGCCGACCUCUUUGGCGGUUCUCAUGGCCAAGGCGGAUAAGUACGCCACUGCUGACUCCGCCAUGAGGAUCAAGAUCAGUGCAACGGACAAGACUGUCCAACCAGCGGCUAUAGCUAAGCCGGCUGGCGACAACCGAGGCGGGCAGAACAACAAGCGCAAAGGGGAUCAACUUGAUCCGUGACCUGGAAGCAACGAGGUGGCCAACAUGGAGGAAGAGCAGCUGGUUGCUCAAGCUGGCUGAUGACCCACAAGUAUAGGGGAUUUAUCGUAGUCCUUUCUAUAAGUAAGAGUGUCGAACCCAACGAGGAGCAGAAGGAUCUGACAAGUGGUUUUCAACAAGGUAAUAUCUGCAAGCACUGAAAUUAUCGGUAACAAGAAGUUGUGUUGUGAGAUGAUUCUUAGCAAGUAGCAAGUAACAAAAGUAACAACGGUGCAGCAAAGUGGCCCAAUCCCUUUUGUAGCAAGGGACAAGCCUGGACAAAGUCUCAUAGGAGGAAAAACGCUCCCGAGGACACACGGGAAUUUUUGUCAUGCUAGUUUUCAUCAUGUUCAUAUGAUUCGCGUUCGUUACUUUGAUAGUUUGAUAUGUGGGUGGACCGGUGCUUGGGUGCUGCCCUUACUUGGACAAACAUCCCACUUAUGAUUAACCCCUCUCGCAAGCAUCCGCAACUACAAAAGAAGAAUUAAGACAAAGUCUAACCAUAGCAUUAAACUAGUGGAUCCAAAUCAGCCCCUUACGAAGCAACGCAUAAACUAGGGUUUAAGCUUCUGUCACUCUAGCAACCCAUCAUCUACUUACUACUUCCCAAUGCCUUCCUCUAGGCCCAAAUAAUGGUGAAGUGUUAUGUAGUCGACGUUCACAUAACACCACUAGAGGAAAAACAACAUAGAACACAUAAAAAUAUCGAACGAAUACCAAAUUCACAUGACUACUUAUAGCAUGACUUAUCCCAUGUCCUCAGGAACAAAAGUAACUACUCACAAAGCAUAAUCAUAUUCAUGACCAGAGAGGUAAUGAGUAGCAUCAAGGAUCUGAUCAUAAACUCUUCCACCAAGUAAUCCAACUAGCAUCAACUACAAAGAGUAAUUAACACUACUAGCAACCUUACAAGUACCAAUCGGAGUCGCGAGACGGAGAUUGGUUACAAGUGAUGAACUAAGGUUUCGAGAUGAGAUGGUGCUGAUGAAGAUGUUGAUGGUGAUGAGUCCCCUCCGAUGAGAGGAGUGUUGGUGAUGACGAUGGCGAUGAUUUCCCCCUCUGGGAGGGAAGUUUCCCCGGCAGGAUCGUCCUGUCGGAGCUCUAGAUUGGUUCUGCUCAAGUUCCGCCUCGUGGCGGCGGUGGAUCCUCCGAAAAGCCUCCUCGUGAUUUUUUUUGGUCGAAACCCUUCCUCUAGCAAAAGGGGGAGCUAGAGGGCUAGCUGGGUGCCCACAAGCCCCCUAGGCACGGCCAGGGGGGUGGUCGCACCUAGCAGGCUUGUGGCCACCUGCUGGCGCCCCUCUGGCACUUCUUCGGCCCAGUAUUUUUUAUAAAUCCCGAAAAAAAUCCUCGUUGAUUUUCACGGCGUUUGGAGUUGCGCAGAAUAGGUAUCUCAAACUUGCUCCUUUUUCAGGCCAGAAUUCCAGCUGCCGGCAUUCUCCCUCUUCAUGUAAACCUUGCAAAAUAAGAGAGAAAAGGCAUAAGUAUUAUACCUUGAAGUGAAAUAACGGCCCAAAAAGCGAUAAAUAACAACAUGAAAGCAUGAUGCAAAAUGGACGUAUCACUGGCGCUCAGCGACAGCGGACCGACAAGAACGCGUGGCAGCCCGAGCUCACCUUCGAGUAGAUACUCGACGUGCCUUGCAAGAUGCAUACCGGGGCGAAGCUGGCCACCCACGCACUCCAGCAGUGCAACUUCUCAUAGCGCCUGACCCGGGGUGAGGGUGUGCCGGCUCCCCCGGGGGCGGCGCCUCCAGGUCCGGCUCCAUCUCAGCCUCCUCCCAAUGAUGGUCGUCUCCAUGACCAGUUCCCCGAGCAGGACGGGGCCUACGUCGUCUUCACAAGUGAAGGCGAUGACAAGCACAACCAGCAUCAACACCGGCAUGAGGUGAAUGCCACGGUCCCCUCGGUUCCCCAAUACAUGCAUUGGUCUGAAAAGCCAAUUACAUGGAGUGGGGCGGACCAUCUUGCGGUGAUGCCAAACCACGGCACAUACGCGCUCGUCCUCGACCCCACCCUCGCUUCCAAGAGACUCACCUGCUGGUUCUCACGGGUGUUGGUCGAUGGCGGCAGCAGCAUCAACAUCCUCUACCAAGACACUCUGCUCAAGCUCGGGCUGAAGGAGAAGGACCUGCAGCCGACCAGGACUGUCUUCCACGACAUGGUUCCGGGGCAGUCCUGCUCGCCGAUCGGCAAAAUCCAGCUGGAUGUCCUCUUCGGUGACUGAUACGUCUCCAACGUAUCUAUAAUUUUUUAUGGUUUCAUGCUAUUAUCUUGUCAAACUUUGGAUGUUUUGCAUGCCUUUUAUUUUAUUUUAUGGGACUAACUUAUUAAUCCAGUGCCAAGUGCCAGUUCCUAUUUUUCCAUGUUUUUGACCCCUUUCACAGGAGAUUUUGAAACGGAGUCCAAACGGAAGAAAAUCCCCGAAAAGAUUUUUUUCUGGAAUGGAAGAAGAUCGGAGAGCUUGGGGGCCAAGCCAGAAGAGCCCCAAGGGCCCCACAAGCCCCCACCCCGCGGCCAGGGGGCUGCGCCAUGCAGGCUUGUGGCCCCCUGGAGGUCCCCUGACCUAGAUCUUGCACCUAUAAAUUCCCAAAUAUUUCCAAAAAAAAUGAGGGGAGCAUCGUAAUCACUUUUCCGCCGCCGCAAGCUUAUGUCUCCACAAGAUCCCAUCUGGGCACGUCCUGGUGCCCUGCCGGAGGGGGGAUUCAGACACGAAAGGCUUCUCCAUCAACACCAUGACCUCUCCGAUGAUGCAUGAGUAGUUCACCAUAGACCUACGAGUCCAUAGCUAGUAACUAGAUGACUUCUUCUCUCUCUUGGAUCUUCAAUACAAAGUUCUCCAUGAUCUUUAUGGAGAUCUAUUCGAUGUAAUCUUAUUUUGCGGUGUGUUUGUCGAGAUCCAAUGAAUUGUGGAUUUAUGAUCAGAUUAUCUAUGAAUCUUAUUUGAGUUUCUUCUGAUCUCUCUUAUGCAUGAUUUCAUAUCCUUGUAAUUCUCUUCGAGUUGUGGGUUUUGUCUGGCCAACUAGAUCUAUGAUUCUUGCAAUGGGAGAAGUGCUUGGUUUUGGGUUCAUACCGUGCGGUGACCUCACCUAGUGACAGAAGGGGUAGCGAGGCACGUAUCGUGUUGUUGCCAUCAAGGGUAAAAAUAUGGGGUUUUCAUCAUUGGUUUGAGAUUAUCCCUCUACAUCAUGUCAUCUUGCUUAAAGCGUUACUCUGUUCGUCAUGAACUCAGUACACUAGAUGCAUGCUGGAUAGCGGUCGAUGUGUGGAGUAAUAGUAGUAGAUGCAGAAAAUAUUGUGAUGGGGUUAUAGUCCUAGGGUAGGGUCAUAAGCCUACCUUAUAGGUCCUACCUAAGGACCACCCUUCAUAAGGGACAAGGCCCUUUGCCAGCUCCGACUGAACUAAGGAAUUCCCAUCAUCCAGUCGGUAACAGACAUCCGACCAUCCAGUCGAAGGCGAGCAUGAAGCUUGUUUGUGUUUGCGCAGGUACUCUCGACUUGAUGAGACCCUCCUUCUGGAUCGGUACCUUGGUUCUCAAACUGAGGGAAAUACUUACUACUCCUGUGCUGCAUCACCCUUUCCUCUUCAAGGGAAAAACCAACGCAAGCCCAAUCUCCGUCAACGUGUCAAUUUCUGGCGCUGUUGUUUGAGAAGUAGGAGAAGGAUUUCUGGCGCCGUUGCCGGGGAGGAAGAUCAAGUCAAUAACUCAUCCAAGUAAGUGUCACAAACUCAUCUCUUGCAUUUACUUUGUUUGCAGUUGCCUCUCGUUUUCAUCUCCCCCACUUCACCAAUUUGCCUUUUUCGUUCGCUUUUUUGUUCGCCCUUUUUCUCGCCCGCUUUUUAUUUGCUUGUGUGCUUGCUUGCUUGCUGAAGUCACCAUGAACGAAAACACCAAACUUUGUGACUUCUCGAAUACUAAUAAUCAUGGUUUUAUUAGUACUCUGAUUGCUCCCGCCACUAGUGCGGAGUCAUACAAAAUCAAUGCCGCUUUGCUGAAUCUUGUUAUGAAAGAGCAAUUCUCUGGCCUUCCUAGUGAAGAUGCCGCAUCCCAUCUCAAUACCUUCAUUGAGCUUUGCGAUAUGCAAAAGAAAAAAGAUGUGGAUAAUGACGUGAUUAAAUAGAAGCUUUUUCCCUUCUCGUUGCGAGAUCGCGCAAAAACUUGGUUUUCUUCUUUGCCCAAAAAUAGUAUCGAUUCUUGGGAUAAGUGCAAAGAUGCUUAUAUAUCCAAGUAUUUUCCGCCGGCUAAGAUCAUCUCUCUCCGUAAUGAUAUCAUGAAUUUCAAGCAACAUGAUUAUGAGCAUGUUGCACAACCUUGGGAGAGAAUGAAAUUAAUGAUUAGAAAUUGUCCCACUCAUGGCUUGAGCCUUUGGAUGUUUAUUCAAAUCUUUUACGCUGGCUUGAAUUUUGAUUCUAGAAAUAUCUUGGACUCCGCCUCAGGUGGAACGUUCAUGGUAAUCACAUUAGGAGAAGCCACAAAGCUCUUAGACAACAUCAUGACAAACUACUCUCAAUGGCACACUGAAAGGUCACCGACUAGUAAGAAGGUACACGCUAUAGAAGAAAUUAACUCGUUGAGUGCUAAGAUGGAUGAGUUAAUGAAUUUGGUUGCUAGUAGAAGUGUUCCUUUGGAUCCUAAUGAUAUGCCUUUGUCUUCUUUGAUUGAGAGUAGCAACGCUAGCUUGGACGUUAAUUUUGUUGGUAGGAAUAACUUUGGCAACAACAAUGCUUUUAGAGGAAACUAUGUUCCUAGGCCUUUUCCAAGUAACUCCUCUAAUAAUUUUGGCAACUCCUACAACAAUACUCAUGGAAAUUACAAUAGAUUACCCUCUAAUCUAGAGAGUAAUAUCAAAGAGUUCAUCAACUCUCAAAAGAUUUUCAAUGCAUCCAUAGAGGAAAAACUACUCAAAAUUGACGAUUUCGCUAAGAGCGUUGAUAGGAUUUCUUGUGAUGUUGAUGCUUUGAAAGUUAGAUGUGCUCCUCCCAAAAUAAACAUGGAUGAAACUUUGAAAUCUAUGUGUGUUUCCAUGAUUGAGAGCCAAGAAAGAACCGCCCAAAUUCGUGCUAGACAUGAAUGGUUUAAAAAGGCGUGUUCUCGUGAUGAGAAUCACGAAGAUCUUAAAGUGCUUGGUGUGACUCCCAUUGAAUCUUUGUUUUCUUGUGUCAAACCUAAUGAUUAUGGGGCUGGAUAUGAAUCCACUUGGGUUGAAAAGUUCCCCAAUGAUUUGGAGUCCAUCUAUCUUGAUGCUAAAAGCAUUAAAAGUGGACUAGAAGACGUUAAAACUUUGAGUAGUAAUGAAAUUACUACCGUGGAUUUCAAGGAAUUCAAUUAUGAUAGUUGCUCCUUGAUUGAAUGCAUUUCUUUGAUGCAAUCCAUGUUGAACUCUCCACACGCUUAUAGCCAAAACAAAGCCUUUGCCGAUCAUAUCGUCGAAGCUAUGAUGAAAGAUCUUGAAGAGAAACUUGAAUUGGAAGUCUCUAUCCCUAGAAAGCUUCAUGAUGAGUGGGAACCUACCAUCGAAAUCAAAAUAAAAAACUAUGAGUGCAAUGCUUUGUGUGAUUUGGGUGCUAGUGUUUCUGCGAUUCCAAAGUCUUUAUGUGAUGUUCUGGGUUUUAAUGAGAUUGAAGAGUGUUCUCUUAAUUUGCAUCUUGCUGAUUCUACUGUCAAGAAACCCAUGGUAAGGAUCAAUGAUGUUCUUAUUAUUGCAAAUAUGAACUAUGUACCCGUGGAUUUCAUUGUGCUUGACAUUGAUUGCAAUCCUACAUGCCCUAUUAUUCUUGAUAGACCUUUCCUAAGGACUAUUGGUGCUAUCAUCGAUAUGAAGGAAGGGAAUAUUAGAUUUCAAUUUACUUUAAGGAAGGGCAUGGAACACUUUCCUAGAAAGAAAAUAAGAUUGCCUUAUGAAUCCAUGAUGAGGGCCACUUAUGGUUUGAGCACCAAAGACGACGAUACGUGAUUCUAUCGCUUCUAUGCCUAGCUAAGGGCGUUAAACAAUAGCGCUUGGUGGGAGGCAACCCAAUGAAUUUAUCUUUUUAUUUUUGUUUUUUUGCGUCCAAACUUUCAUAAUUCUGUUGUGAUUGUGUUUUUUGUGUUUGAGCCAAGCAAAGCCUUUAUGAUUAGUCUUGGUAAUGGUUGUUUGAUCCUGCUGGAAAAAGACAGAAACUUUUUGCUCACAAGAUGAUUUUUCAUUUUUAUUCAGAAAGAGCUUUUGAGUUGAUUCGUUUUUCUGCUGAUUGAUAUGCUUUUUCCCCAGACCGUCGUAAUUUUUCAGAUUUUUUGAGGUACCAGAAGUAUUCGAAGUAUACAGAUUGCUACAGACCGGUCUGUUUUUGACAGAUUCUGUUUUUUGUUGAGUUGGUUGCUUAUUUUGAUGAAACUAUGUUUAGUAUCGGGGGGUAGUAGCCAUGGAAUAGUGAGAAUCCAGUAGCCCAUCAUCAAUAUAUAUGGAAUUCAAGUUUGCUACAAUACCAAAAGAAGUGGUAGUUUGUUUUCUUGUACUAAUGUUAUCACAAGUUUCUGUUUAAGUUUUGUGUUGUGAAGUUUUCAAGUUUUGGGUGAUGUUCUCAUGGACUAAGAGAUAAGGAGUGAAAAUAGCUCAAGCUUGGGGAUGCCCAAGGCACCCCAAGCCAAAUUCAAGGACACCAAAAAGCCUAAGCUUGGGGAUGCCCCGGGAAGGCAUCCCCUCUUUCGUCUUCAAUCCAUCGGUAACAUUUCUUGGGGCUAUAUUUUUAUUCACCACAUGAUAUGUGUUUUGCUUGGAGCGUCUUGUAUCUUAGGAGUCUUUUCUUUUUGUUGUAUCACAAUCAUCCUUGCUGCACACCUUUUUGAGAGAGAGAGACAUGCACUCAUCGUGAUUUUGCUAGAAUGCUCGUAGUGCUUCACUUAUAUCUUUUGAGCUAGAUACUUUUGCUCAUAGUGCUUCACUUAUAUAUUUUUGAGCUAGAUACUUUUGCUCUAGUGCUUCACUUAUAUCCUUUGAGCUAGAUACCUUUUGCUCUUGUGAUUCACUUAUAUCUUUAAGAGCACGACGGUGCGUGAUUUGUUAGAUGGCUUAUGCUAUGAAAGUAGUCCCAUGUGCUAGGUACCCAAAGAGGAUGCAAAAACCUCCAUCUUCAUGUGCAUUGAGUAGAAAGAAAAUUUUUGAUUCCUCUCAAUUAGUUUUGAGACAUGGAUUCGGAAAUAUUAAAAUCUUAUGUUAGUAGGGUGUUGUGAAUCUAGAAAUACUUGUGUUGAAGUUAGUGAUUCCGGUAGCAUGCACGUAUGGUGAACCCCUAUGUUAGGAAGUCGGAGCAUAAUUGAUCUAUUGAUUUUCAUCCUUUGUGUUGAGGUCGGGAUCGCGCGAUGGUUUACACCUACCAACCCUUCCCUCGGAGUAUGCAUUAGCACUUUGUUUUGAUUACUAAUAAAAACUUUCAUAACAAGUAUGUGAGUUAUUUAUGACUAAUGUUGAGUCCAUGGCAUAGAUGCACUUUCACCUUCCACCUUUGCUAGCCUCUCUAGUGCCACACAAUUCUUGCCGGUGCACAAACCCACCAAAUUCCUUCCUCAAAACAGCCACCAUACCUACCUACUAUGGCAUUUUCAUAGCCAUUCCGAGAUAUAUUGCCAUGCAACUACCACCAUUUUGUCUCAUGACUUGUGUCGUCACUCUCAUAUUGCCAUUGCAUGAUCAUGCACAUCCUGGUACACUGCCGGAGGCAUUUCCUAUGGAGUCAUCAUCAUUGUGAUCUUUGAGCUUUGAGUAACUAAAAGUGUGAUGAUCAUCAUUAUUAGAGCAUUGUCCCAUGUGAGGAAAUAAAAAAAGAGGCCAAAGAGCCCAAAAAAAGAGGCCUAAGAGCCCAAAUAAAAAAAGAGAAAUGAGAGAAAAAGAGAGAAGGGACAAUGCUACUAUCUUUUUCCACACUUGUGAUUCAUAUUAGCACCAUGUUCUUCAUGAUUGAGAGCUUCUUGCUUUGUCACUACCAUAUGCUAGUGGGAAUCUUUUAUAUAACUUGGCUUGUAUAUUCCAAUGAUGGGCUUCCUCAAAAUUGCCCUAGGUCUUCAUGAGCAAGCAAGUUGGAUGCACACCCACUAGUUUUCCUUUUGAGCUUCCACAUACUUAUAGCUCUAGUGCAUCUCUUGUAUGACAAUCCCUACUCAUUCACAUUGAUAUCUAUUAAUGGGCAUAUCCAUAGCCUUUUGAUAAGCCGAGUCAAUGUGACCAUCUCCUCCUUUUUUGUCUCACAACCACCACCACACUCUAUUCCACCUAUAGUGCUAUAUCCAUGGCUCGCGCUCAUGUAUUGCGUGAUAGUUAUAAAAAGUUUCAGAAAGUAAGAGUGUGAAAACAAUUACUUGGCCAAUUCCGGGGUUGUGCAUGAUUUACAUUAGUUGUGUGAGGAUGAUGGAGCAUAGCCAGACUAUAUGAUUUUGUAGGGAUAACUUUCUUUGGCCUUGUUAUUUUCAAAGUUCACGAUUACUUUGCUAGUUUGCUUGAAGUAUUACUAUUUUCAUGUCAAUAGAAAACUAUUGUUUUGAAUCUUACGGAUCUGAACAUUCAUGCCACGUGAAAGAAGUUGCAAAGGACAACUAUGCUAGGUAGCAUUCCACAUCAAAAAUUCAUUCUUUAUCACUUCCCUACUCGAGGACGAGCAGGAGUUAAGCUUGGGGAUGCUUGAUACGUCUCCAACGUAUCUAUAAUUUUUGAUGGUUUCAUGCUAUUAUCUUGUCAAACUUUGGAUGUUUUGCAUGCCUUUUAUUUAUUUUCUGGCACUAAGUUAUUAAUUCAGUGCCAAGUGCCAGUUCCUGUUUUUUCCAUGUUUUUUACCCCUUUUAGAGGAGAUUUUGAAACGGAGUCCAAACGGAAGAAAAUCCCUGAAAAGGUUUUUUUUGGAACGGAAGAAGAUCGGAGAUCUUGGGGGCCAAGCCAGAAGAGCCCCAGGGGCCCCACAAGCCCCCACCCCGCGGCCAGGGGGCUGCGCCAUGCAGGCUUGUGGCCCCCUGGAGGUCCCCUGACCUAGAUCUUGCACCUAUAAAUUCCCAAAUAUUUCCAAAAAAAAUGAGGGGAGCAUCGUAAUCACUUUUCCGCCGCCGCAAGCUUAUGUCUCCACAAGAUCCCAUCUGGGGCACGUCCUGGUGCCCUGCCGGAGGGGGGAUUUGGACACAGAAGGCUUCUCCAUCAACACCAUGACCUCUCCGAUGAUGCGUGAGUAGUUCACCAUAGACCUACGGGUCCAUAGCUAGUAACUAGAUGGCUUCUUCUCUCUCUUGGAUCUUCAAUACAAAGUUCUCCAUGAUCUUCAUGGAGAUCUAUCCAAUGUAAUCUUCUUUUGCGGUGUGUUUGUCGAGAUCCGAUGAAUUGUGGAUUUAUGAUCAGAUUAUCUAUGAAUCUUAUUUGAGUUUCUUCUGAUCUCUCUUAUGCAUGAUUUCAUAUCCUUGUAAUUCUCUUCGAGUUGUGGGUUUUGUCUGGCCAACUAGAUCUAUGAUUCUUGCAAUGGGAGAAGUGCUUGGUUUUGGGUUCAUACCGUGUGGUGACCUCACCUAGUGAUAGAAGGGGUAGUGAGGCACAUAUCGUGUUGUUGCCAUCAAGGGUAAAAAUAUGGGGUUUUCAUCAUUGAUUUGAGAUUAUCCCUCUACAUCAUGUCAUCUUGCUUAAAGCGUUACUCUGUUCGUCUUGAACUCAAUACACUAGAUGCAUGCUGGAUAGCGGUCGAUGUGUGGAGUAAUAGUAAUAGAUGCAGAAAGUAUCGGUCUACUUGUCUCGAACGUGAUGCCUAUAUGCUAGAUCAUUGCCUUAGAUAUCAUCAUGACUUUGCGCGGUUCUAUCAAUUGCUCGACAGUAAUUUGUUCACCCACCGUAAUAUUUGCUAUUUUGAGAGAAGCCUCUAGUGAACACUAUGGCCCCUAGGGUCUACUCCACACCAUAUUUUCAGCCUUACACUUUUUACUUCAUUGCACUUUCCGCAUUCAGAUCUCACUUUCCAAACGAUCUUGAAGGGAUUGACAACCCCUUGAAGCGUUGGGUGCAAGCUUGUUUGUGUUUGCGCAGGUACUCUGGACUUGACGAGACCCUCCUUCUGGAUCGAUACCUUGGUUCUCAAACUGAGAGAAAUACUUACUGCUCUUGUGAUGCAUCACCUUUCCUCUUCAAGGGAAAAACCAACGCAAGCCCAAUCUCCGUCAACGUGUCAAUUUCUGGCGCUGUUGUUUGAGAAGCAGCAGCGACAAGGCACACUUCCGUCGCGAGCCGGUCUGGUUCAAGGUGGUGGACCUCAAUAGCCCAUACCAUGCAUUCCUGGGCAGGCCGACAUUGGCCAAAUUCAUGGCGAUCCCCUAUUACGCCUAUCUCAAGAUGAAGAUGCCGGGUCCCAAGGGCAUCAUCACGGUUGCCGGCGACUACAAGAAGUCGCUCGAAUGUUCGCGCGACAGCAGCCGGCUGGCCGAGGCACUGGUGAUUGCCAAGGAGAAGAGGCAGCUUGACCGGCUCGUGGAUCAGGCUACCGAGUAGCCGAAAAUGCCCACUCAUCCGUCCCAGUCGGCCAGCGAGGCCUCGUUCAAGCCGUCUAAGGAGACAAAGCAAGUGCCGCUCGACCCGGCCAACCCCAAGCAGUGUGUCACCAUCGGCGCCAACCUCAACCCCAAAUAGGAAGGCGAGUUUGUCGACUUCCUCCGUGAGAAUCGAGACAUCUUCGCAUGGUCCCCAAAGGACAUGUCGGGAGUCCCGAGGAAGUACGCUGAGCACAAGAUUCAUGUGCAGCCAGACGCAAAGCCGGUCAAGCAACCUUUGCGCCGCUUCGUUGAGGGGAAGCGAUGCAUAAUUGUAGAAGAGAUCGCCCGGCUGCUCGCAGCCGGCUUCAUUAUGGAAGUUUUCCGCUCGGACUAGCUGGUCAACCCAGUCCUGGUGCUGAAGAAGAACAAGACAUGGCGCAUGUGUAUAGAUUACACAAGUCUAAAUAAGGCAUGCCCGAAAGACCCUUCUGCCCUGCCACGGAUAGAUCAAGUGAUCGACUCCACAGCCGGCUGCGAAUUGUUGUCCUUUCUGGACGCUUAUUCUGGCUACCACCAGAUCAAGCUGGACCCGGCCGACCGGCUCAAGACCUCCUUCGUCACACCUUUUGGAGCCUACUGCUACACGAUGAUGACGUUCGGUCUGAAGAACGCCGACGCAACCUUCCAGUGCUCAUGCAACAAUGCCUCCUACCGCAAAUCGGCAGGAACAUUCACGUCUACGUCAACAACAUCAUCAUCAAGACCAAGCAGCAUUUCAGUUUCCUUGAUGAUCUGAGGGAGACCUUUGCCAACUUGCGUGAGUACAAGAUCCGACUCAAUCCGGAGAAGUGCGUCUUUGGAGUUCCAGUCGGCAAGCUCAUGGGUUUCUUCGUGUCAAGAUCAGAACCAUCAAGCGCAUGGCCAAGCUGGCUCAACUCCUCGACAUUCAAAAGUUUGCCGGCUGCCUCGCAUCCCUCAACCGGUUCGUCAGCCGGCUGGGCGAGAAGGCGCUACCAAUCUAUCAACUGAUGAAGAAGACAACCAAAUUCGAGUGGAAUGAUCAAGCGGACGAAGCUUUCCGCGACCUCAGGCGCGUAAUCUCCAGCACACUAAUCUUGGCCGCGUCGGCAGAGAGGGAGCCCAUCCUCAUCUACAUCGCAACAACCACACGCGUGGUUAGUGUGGUCUUGGUAGUGGAGCGCAAGGAGGAGGGCAAGGUGCUGCUGAUUCAGCACCCUAUCCACUAUCUAAGUGAGGUCUUGUCCGCCUCCAAGCAAAACUACCCCCACUAUCAAAAGAUGUGCUAUGGCGUGUACUUUGCCACCAAGAAGCUGAAGCAAUACUUCUAGGAGCAUGCCAUCAUGAUGGUGAGCACGACUCCACUUUCAGAAAUCAUGGGCAACCGUGAUGCCAUGGGCCGGAUCGCCAAGUGGUCCAUCGCCAUAGCCGACCACGACAUCCGUUGCGAGCCGCGCACCGCCAUCAAGUCUCAGGUGGUGGCCGACUUCCUCGUCGACUGGGCCGAGACCCAAUUCCUGCCGCCGCCUCCCGACUCCACACAUUGGCGGAUGCACUUCGAUGGCUCAAAGAUGCGAACCGGUCUGUGAGCCGGCAUCGUCUUGACGUCUACGAAAGGGGACCAACUCAAGUAUGCUCUCCAGAUACACUUCGCCGCCACCAACAACGUCGCUGAGUACGAGGCGCUCGCACACGGCCUCCGGCUUGCCAGAGAAAUCAGCAUCCGGCGGAUCCUUUGCUUCGGCAACUCUGAUCUUGUGGUGCAGCAAGUCUCUGGCGAGUGGGAUGCCACGGAUGCCAACCUGGCCAGCUACCAGCAGCUGAGUGGCCCCUUCGAGGGCUGCGAGUUCCAUCAUGUCCCCCGAGCGGACAACGAGGCGGCUGAUACAUUGGCAAAAAUCAGCUCCAGAAGGCAAGCAAUCCCGACCGGCGUCUCCCUCGAGCAGCUGCACAAGCCCUCCAUCAAGCCGUCUCCGAAGUCGGCAUCAAUCUUCGUGCAUGUGGACCCGUUCGUCCCAAUGACUCUGGGCCCGGAGAAACCCCCGGAAUCGUCAACUCCGCCGGCUAUGCUCUCUCUGCGGCUCCGGCAAUCUUGUUGGCUACAUCUGCUUCGCCGGCUGCGCCAAACCUCAAACCAUGUCGUCUCAACACCUAGUGGGUGGCCUUCAUGGAGGUUGAUGGCAUGCCAGCUGCCACGACGACACGAGAGACAAAAGGUCUCGAACCCAGGACCACAAUGACAAACUCAGGGGCUUCAGAUGCCCCUGACCUUCAGGCCGAGCCGGAGCCGGCUCCCGUGUCGGCUCCCUCAUGGGCACACCCCAUCCUGGCCUUCCUUCUUUCCGGCGACCUUCCUCAAGACGAGGUGGAGGCGCGACAGAUCCAACGACGAUCUCCCGCGUAUGCCAUCAUCAACGGCGAGCUGAUUCGACAUAGAGUAACCGGUGUGUGAUACAUCCAAAACGUAUCUAUAGUUUUUGAUGGUUUCAUGCUAUUUUUAUGCUUUUGAAAUUUUUUAUAUAUUAAGUUUAUGAUUUAUUUGGACUAACCUUGUUGGAGUCGAAUUGGGACUUUUCGGAAAUCUGUGUGAAAACUCUUUUUAAAGAUUGCCACGUUACGGGUCGAAUAUGGCCUCAAACGGAAAUCUCUCAGAAGACAAAAGUGUGGGGACUUGUUUUUUGAUAAUUAUAGACAUAAUUCGGCUCAUUUGGAGUUCGGACGCUCCAGGAAAGCCCGUUUUACUGGAGGACAAAUAUUUGAUUAUGGGAAUCGGUGACGUGAUUGAGUUCAACUCUGACCAUAUUUGAUGGAUUCGACCAAACCACGACUUUGGUAUCUCAUUAGGGCUGAGAGGGGUCCCUAAGAAGGUUCUAUAGGUGCCCAAGAUCCCUUGGGUCAAAGGGGCAUCCAUUGGAGGGCUAAGGAUGAUCGUCCCAGCUCAUAUAAGGAGAGGAAACCCUGAUUUCUCGACAACCACCAAAAGCCACGAAUUUUGCCUCCCCCAUGGCCUCAUAUCCAUGGGGGAGGGCUCAUCUACAGCACCAAGAAUCCAUGGAGGAAGGGGGCUAAGGUGUGGCGCUCCCCCAUGAUGCCCGGCCGGCGCAGGAGGAGCCCCCUGCGCCGCCGAUGGCCGCCGGCGCCGCCCUGCACCUCACGUGUUGUCCCUUCUCCAUCCUCUCCACCAUGAUGCCGCCUUCACUAACACCUGCAACAUCAUAUCCUCCAUAGAUAUAGUGGUCCACUCUUCCACAAAUCUCUGUAAUCCCCUAUGUAAACAUGGUGUUUGAUGUUAUAAAUUAUCUGCAGAUGGCCUAUUGAAUUUAUGCCAUGUUUGUGUAGUUCCCUUUUGUCAUAUUAUUGAUUGGUGAAUCUCCAUGGAUGGUUUGAGAUAUAUAUUGAAUUUGUUAUAGUCCUAUGGUGCCCAUCAUAUGUUUAUGCGUGCAUGAAUCACAUCAUAGGGUUUGUAGUAUGUGGAGAAAGCUAGAGGGUGGGCUGCUUGAGUGACAGAAACAUGAGCCUCAAUCUAGAGAUCAAAGCAUAUGGGAUAAAGAGGACCUUUUGAUCUUAAUGUUAUGGUUGGAUAUUUUUACCUUAAUGUAUAUUCUAGUAUUUAUGGAUGUUUUCUAGAGUUCCAAUCAUAAGUACUUGCAAUCACUGGAUAGUGAGAGCUUGUUAGGUUUACCUCUCCCACAUAAAAGAGGAAUAUCAACCUUGUAUUUGACUAUUUGAUCAUGGACAAUUCCACCACAUUAACCACCACUUUUCCGCACUCAUGGUACUGUUAGUUUAUGGUUACUUAGUGUAUUUUAUCGCUGCAGCACUAACAUUUACUUUCUUGUAUUUAUUAUCUUGCAAAUAUUUCUCUCAUACCUGUAUUGUCACUAUAGUUAUAUUCCCCAGAUGAAGUAAACGUUUAGUGUUCGUAGAGUUGUAUCAGUGGUUGAUAGAACUUGAGAGAAUAUUUAUCCUACCUUUAGCUCCUCGUUGGAUUCGACACUCUUACUUAUCGAAAGGGCUACACACGAUCCCCUAUACUUGUGGGAUAUCAAGACAUUUUCUGACGCCGUUGCCGGGGAGCAAUAGCGUGGGGUGAAUGUUCUUGUGUGCACUUGUUUGCUUUGUAUCUAAGUAGUUUUUCUUUCAAUUUUAAGUUUUUAUCUAUCUUUAUAAUUAUAGGGAAUGAGAAUACAAAAAAAAUAGUUGUACUUGUUAUCCAAAAACAUUUUUAAAAAGGAAAGUGAUUGGAAAGAUGAGUAAUGGUUAAGUGGGGGUCGACCUUGAACACUUGUGUUCAUGCCUAUGAAACCAAAACAAUUUUUUCCAUGGAAGCUUUUCAGUUAAAAACUUGUAUAUACUUUUUAUAUAUUGUACAUAUUCCUCUGUACCAUGAAAAUAAAAUGUAUAGAUAACUUCUAGUUUGUUUAUGAUGCAAGUUUGCCACAUUGCUGCCUAGAAACAUAUUUCCGUGCUCCACCGUAGAAAAUUUGAAAAAUCACCAGAACGUGAUCUUGAUCUGAAAUUUCUUGAGCGCAAAGUACUAUUUAUUAUGUUACUUUAAUUAGUUUUUAAUUGUAUUAUUUGAGGUGCGUAGAUAGGUCUAAUAAUUCGAUCUUUACUGACUGUUCUGUUUAAACAGAUUUCCUAUGCUUCACUGUAAAAAAUCGUGAUAAAUCUCAGAAUAGUAUUUUGAUCUGAAAUGUUUUGUGCAUAAACCUGAGAUUAUGAUUUGUCUUUCAUUAUUUUUGAGUUUUUCUAUUUGAGCUACCUAACUAUCUCGUUGAGUGUCGUCUUUACAGAGUGUUCAGUUUUGACAGAUUUCUUAGUUUAUUCAAUAUUGUACUUGGCGUUAUUAGUUUCAUUAGUUUUUCGACGAACAACGGAAAUCAUGAACACCUUAGUAUAUAUAGUGUCUAAUGUUGAGUAAAUAUUAUCAAACUUGUCAAUUUUUGAACAUGAGUGGAUUUUAUUUAAUGAGUAGUAACCCUACUAAUGAGUUUUUGUCAAGUUUUAUGUGAAUGUAGCAUUUAAGAUCCAAUGGAGAUGGUGAUACGAGAUGAAUGAGAAGAGAAAAGCUCAAUCUUGGGGACUCCCAAGUGCACCUCAAUGAAGUAUUCAAGAAUAUUCAAUCAUCAAAGCUUGGGGAUGCCCAAGGUAUCCCUCCUUUUUCCAUGUCUAGCUAAAAGGCGUUAAAGAAAAGCGCUUGUGGGAGGCAACCCACUUUGUUUUCCUUAUGUUUUCAUGUUGUUUUCUUCUAGUUCCUUUUGUUUUCUUUGAGUCUUGGAAGUUGUUACCUAUGUAUCAACCUCUCCUUAUUAUUUUUAUUUCAUUUUGUGCCAAGUUUUAGCCUCCGAUUGCAAGAAAGUUUAAAAGUUGUGACAUGUUGUCCAGAAACAGAUUAUGUCUGCUUGACGGAACAAUUCGCCAAAGAUCAUAUUUUUGAUCUGAAUUGUUUUGAAAGUAUGAUGUAUAUAAUUGACUUUCUGGCAUUUGUUCUGAGUUUUUUGAUUUGAGUUGCAGAAGUGCCCUGAUUUGUUUUACUACAUGGUGGUAUGUUUUCCCAGACUCUGUCUUGUUUUGUGUUUUCAUUGUUUUACAAAUCUUAAGCUUGCUUUUUCUUUGCAAAACCUUUUUGGAAAUCUUGAGAAACAUUAGCUCUUCCUGAAAAUAUUUAUUUCCAGUAGAGAAUAAAUUAUUUUAUCAUGGGCACUAACCACUCUAAUCAGCUUAUGAUGAGUUUCGUAAGAAGGGAGUUUUCAAGUAUGUGAUGGAAGAUGAUGAAAGAAGAUCGAGGAGUGUCAAGAUCUCAAGCUUGGGGAUGCCCCCAUGCACCCCCAAGAAAUAUUCAAGGAGACUCAAGCGUAUAAGCUUGGGGAUGCCCCCGUCCAUCCCCUUCUCCAUCAACAAUCAUCAGUUCGUCCUUCUCCAUGCUAUAUUUUUAUCACUUCAUAUGUUAUGUGCNNNNNNNNNNNNNNNNNNNNNNNNNNNNNNNNNNNNNNNNNNNNNNNNNNNNNNNNNNNNNNNNNNNNNNNNNNNNNNNNNNNNNNNNNNNNNNNNNNNNCUAUCCAGCUGCGAGGCCGAGUACAUAGCGGCCUCCACCGCCUGCACUCAGGCGCUCUGGCUCGCUCGACCUCGCAGCUGGACAGGGCCGCCACCUGUUGCUCUCAGGCGCUCUGGCUCGCUCGACCACCAGCUGGACAGGUGAUCUCCUUGUCUGAGACACCAGAACGGUGCAGCUCCUGGUGGACAGCAAGUCCGCCCUGGCCCUGGCAAAGAACCCGUUUUCCACGAACGGAGCAAGCACAUCCGACUGAGGUAUCACUUCAUCCGAAGCUGUUUGGAUGAAGGGAGCAUCGAGGCGAGCUACAUCAACACCACGGACCAGCUCGCAGACCUGCUUACCAAGCCUCUUGGGAGGAUCAAGUUCGUCGAACUCUGCUCCAGGAUCGGGAUGAUUCGACUCUCCCACAAGACGACGUAAGACUUAGGGGGAGAAUGAUGGAUAAGUCUCAGCACAUGGUCCUUUGUGGGGCUGCAACACAUGGUCCUUGUGGCUGUUAGGAUAGAAUCCUUGACAACCAAGGACUGACAGUUAGGAUAGCAUCUUAGACUAGCAUCUUGGCAUAUGCUUGGCUGUCUAGCAGCCUAUAAAUAUGUAUCCCCAACCCCUCAGGUUGGUAUGGCAUUGUGUGAGAAAUAAACCAACGAAAAUUGUGCCAACUCUCCUAGUGUCAUCUACAACUAUCAAUGCUCAGGCUGAAAGGUCUAACAGAGACCGAUGCAUCUGGCGUCGCGGGUGAAGCUAUUGUAGGACGCCCAGCUCUGUGGCGUGGUGGAGCAGACGACCAAGCGUGUCGACCAUGAGCACGAAGAGCUGGGGUGAUAGCGGAUCACCUUGGCGAAACCCACACUUGUGCCAUACUGCUGGGCCUGCCUCUCCGUUAACGAGCGCUGGGCCUGCCUCUCCGUUAACGAGCACCUGGUGCUAGCGGGGGAGAAUAGGAUGGCCAACCAAUCAAGGAACCUGGUGCCAAAGUUGUACUGGCGGAGGGCAUCAAACAUGAAACGCCACCUGACGGAGUCCAGGGCGUAGGCUAGGUUCAGCUUCAGUAGUACGCGCGGGGCGUCGAGCUGAUGCAACAGGCGAGCAGACUGUCACACGAGGAUGAAGUUGCGAAGCGACAAGAUCUUGGCAAAUAUCUUGGCCACCAAGUGUAUGAGGCUUAUGGGCCUGAAGUCGCCAAGGGCCUGGGCGUACGCGCGCUUGGGGAGCAGGGUGAGUAGCGCCUAGUUAAGGCAGCUGGAUCCAUGCCCUCACAGCUUGUAUAGCCGGUGGAGGACGUCGAUGAAAUCCUGACGGGCGAUGGGCUAGCACGCGCCUAGGAACUCGGCGGGGAAGCUAUCGGGGCCAGGGGCCUUGUGUGCGGGGAGUCUUUUGAUCGCCUGCCAAAUUUUCCCGGCGUCGAAGGGAGCAUCCAGGUCCUCUAGGCAGGAAGGAGUGAUGAGCUUGGAGAGGUCAAGGGCCCAAUCGCGUGGCGCAUCCUAGCCCAGGAGCUAGUCGAAGUGCGCGUAGGACGCGGCUGUGAAUCCUGUUCUUUUGAUGCUUGUAGGUGCACUGCCGAUGGAAGAACGACGUGUUGGCAUCGCCGUCCUCGAGGUUUGCGAGGCGGGCGCGUUGCCGGGCAAUGGUGCGCUCGAGGGACGCAAGGCCUAGGUAAGAUGCCUUGAUCUGCCGACGCAGCGAAUCCUCGUGUGGGGAGAGUGCGCGUUGCUCCCGUGCGGUGUCAAGCCGGAGAAGGAGCUCUCGGGAUAUGGCAAGCUUGAGCCGAACAUUGCCAACAGUCCGAGGGCUCCAGUAGUAGUAGUCUAACUAGCUAGGAUUAUAAAAAAAAUAUGGGUUCAAGAUUCUGGGAGAAUCUGGGGGAAGGUCUGAUUCUCAAGAUUCUCAGAGAAUUGGCCAAAAGAACUGGCUUCCAUAGAGAACUGUGGCUGACGUCCUUAAAGGGCGACAUGGUCACUACAAUGUACAAACAAAACUGCAUAUGUACUAUGUAUUUGCUAUUGGUCAUCAGUAAUUUAUUUGCAGUCUAAAUAUAUUUGGGCACACUUAGGGUCAAGAUCUUAAAUAACUUGGAUCAAUCACGCAGGUGCAUGGAUUUGUACAAGAUAAUAUAACAGGGGAGAAAGUAGCUAUGUUAAUUGGAAAGUGGGAUGAAGCUAUGUAUUAUGUGCUUGGGGAUCCAAGCACUAAACCCAAGUGGUACGACCCAAUGUCAGAAGCAGUUCUUUUGUGGGAGAGAGACAAGUCUUUGAAUCAAACCCGAUAUAACCUUUCUCCAUUUGCAAUUUCUUUAAAUGAAUUGGCACCUCACAUGUUGACGAUGUUGCCUCCUACUGAUUCUCGCCUGAGGCCUGACCAGAGGCAUCUGGAAAAUGGUGAAUACGAGAAGGCAAAUUCGGAGAAACUCAGACUUGAANNNNNNNNNNNAACUCAGACUUGAACAACUUCAGCGGCAGGUAUUCCAGUAUUAUAUGUUUGAUUUAAUCUUUUAUCAAUGUGUUUUCUUGUUUCUUUUUAUCAUAGCAUCAUUUAUAGGAGUUGAGAUUCAUCACAUUGUCUGACCAAGUACCGCGGCUAAUAUUAUAAGUCAGAAAUCAUGGGUUUGAAAUCUCGUCUGUCGUGUGUAAUUUGUACUCAUUAGUCUCAUGAAUGAAGAAGCAUCUUCUAAUUGUUCCGUGGAUCUGAUGCUGGCACACUGUUUGUAAAGCUCAAUAUCCGAAGAAAUGCUCCUUCCAUCCCAAAAUUAGUGUCACUGAUUUAGUACAACUUUGUACUAAAUCUGUACUAAACCAGAGACGCUUAUUUUGGGACGGGGGGAGUGUGAUUGUAGUUUCCUAGGCGUUUUUCCUCAUAAUGAAAAAGAAACUUCCUAGGCGUUCUUUCAUUAUUGGUUGUAGCACCUAGCAUUUCAGACCCAGUUUAUUUAAUUUUAUUCUAGUUUGAUUUGCAAAGAUGACAAAAUUCUGACAGGUGAGCAUUCACAUUCAUAAUGAGGAAGAAAUUAUAAUUUUGGUGGUUACGCUAUUUGGCAGCAUAUUACUUGUGUUUAUCAUCAGGCUCAAUUUUAUGCUGGGCUUUGCCCCUGCUGGUGCGACCUGUAAUGGCUUAUAUUUACAGGCUCGAAGGUUACAAGAGAGAGGCUGGCAACCAAGGUGGUUCAGGAAGGACGAGGACGACAGCUACUGCUAUCUUGGGGGAUAUUGGGAAGCGAGGGAAAAAGGAAUCUGGAACGGGAUCCCCCAUAUAUUCGGCCAGAGCAGUGCAUCGCCUGAGUAGUCUCAGCUAUAACCCUGCGCCUCUUUCUUUUAUGGUAGUGGUAUCCACAUUUCAUUUACAGGAAACAUUGACUGGCACAAACUGAAUGUGUGAAUAUAUGCCAAUUUACUGGUGGUUUCUGGUAGCCGAAAUGUACUGGUAAAUACUUGAUGAGAUUGUGUUAGUAAGAAUGCAGUUAAGUAGGUAGGUUUAAUGCACGUGAAAUUCAGUUAUGGGCUCAGCUGAAAUAUACUUAUUUUGGAACAAUUUGAUCCCUUUUUCAGUCUGGAUGUUUGUCUAGCAGUUUUGUGAGUUCUGCAAUCAUACUUAUUACUGUAGGAGGCAGCGUUUUGGCUCCCAUGCCUAGCUACUUCUGAAAUUUGAACCACUUUCCCGCUUUUUAUGUGUUGAGUCGUGUAAAAUUUAGUCUUUUUCAGUUUUUUUUUUACCCUAAAACAGUACUUGUUGNNNNNNNNNNNNNNNNNNNNNNNNNNNNNNNNNNNNNNNNNNNNNNNNNNNNNNNNNNNNNNNNNNNNNNNNNNNNNNNNNNNNNNNNNNNNNNNNNNNNGCGCCCUCCUUUGUCCCUUCGGUUCUCACCGACUUUAGCCUACCUAUGGCAUAUGUUGUGAGUAUUCACCGACACUGAUGACCACCAUGGUUGAAAUUGCCCUGCUGCUGAUUGUUCAUCCCUUGCAACAGUUGAAGUAACAUAUGCGUGUUAGCAUUUGUUGCAGGCAUCACCGCUUGCCAUGCCUCUGGAGGAGGAGGCGGCGGCGGAGGAGGCGGUGGCGGAGAAUCAACACCCUCACGACCCAGAUUCUGGCGAGUUGGUGGAGCCAUCCUGAAGACGGACAACAUGUUAGACCAGAGAUUAACAUUUGAGGUAAAGCCGAAUCAAUAGGCAGAAAUAUCUGAACAAGAAUACUUAGCAAUUGCAUUCAAACAAUAAUUAGUAAGAAUGCUUCCUCAAAGUGACUGCCGACAACAUCUGAUUAAAGGACACUCGCAAACCAAGUGUGAGCUGGGAUUGCUCGGAACAAACAUAUGACAGAGAUUCCAUCCGAUAUCUUCGUGGAAAUGAUCGCACGGGUUCGAGCUUAUAGUAGCCAUCAUGUACAAGGCAGAGCACAUGACAUACGAAGCACCCCCGAGUCGUUGCAAGCUACAAGGACUCAUAAUACACAACGAGAACCGCUGUAGGAGGACCGUGAACAAACGAACCCACUGAAUGUCGAAUCCCAACCUCACAUCAUGCAUCUGUAGGAAUAUUGUCUUAUAAGUCACUACCUGAUAUCUCACCUAUGAACUCCCGAAAUUUUUGGUCAUGCAAUCUGGUCCACGGAUACAAGGAGUAAUAUAUCACUCAACUCCUAUACUAACCCGUACAAUGUAUCACAUCCAUCAACACAUAACCAGAAUUUCGGAACUUCAUAUAUCACAGACCCUCGUAAUCACAACGAUACUAAGUGUGGCUAUACAUCCGGAACUAUCUGCACCAGUACCGGGGAAGCCGGACUGCUCUCGUCACUACUAGUAUNACUGCUCUCGUCACUACUAGUAUUGAAGCGAUUUCGAGCAUCCUCCGUCCUGAGAUACUAAGAAAUCUGAAUGAUAGCGAUAUGCUCAAGAAUCCCCUGGAGCUCAACUCCCCGGAAGAAAUGAAGUCAGACAUGAGGCACCAAGACAGAACUCCGUCACAUCAACAUCAUAUAGAUUCCAAAAAUAUCUGCGUGAUCAUAAUUUUUUUUGAGCGAGAAGAGGAGUAGAAUGAAAAUUUGCUAACUCGUGAUCCUCACCAAGGCAUAGAAGAGGAGAAAAAAUAAACCUACUCUCCGAUAUAACUAAGACUCAAAAUAGUUUUGCUAUAGUCGACUCGCCAAGUUCGAUCACACAAAGACUCCUAUGGUCGUAAGGCUCUUAUUAAGAACUUGCAACGACUAAGAUGCGGCCCUUUCCUUAUUUGGGGGCGAGGCCUCAAAAGGGAAAGAUGCGCAUCUAUGCGUUUCACAAGUGAGAUAAUCAUAACAUUACAAUAACUAAAAGAGUGACAAGUAGGGCAUACACUUGCCAUCUGAUAAGAACAUAGUCAUACAGUCAUACAACCACACAUUACUACGAACAUGGAAAGGUCUAGCUACAGACAAGAUAAACAGGAAAAACUAUUAUAUCCCGCAUGCUGGCCCCACGAUCACGACCACGGCCUCUAGUCCUCCGGAUAAGUCACGUACAACCUGCCGCUGUCCUCAUCAAACUCCCACUUCAGCUGGUUGUCAUCGAGAACUCCUGCAUCAGGGGUACCUAUACCUGUGGGUGUUUGUAGUAAACCGUGAUCCAUGAGGACUCAACAAUCCUAUGACCUUGGUAUGGAAUCUAACUAAGUGAAAUGGGUGAGGAAGGUUAAGUGUAUGAGUUUGCAACAACCUAAGCUUGUAUGGUGGCUAUCUUACGAAGACCUGAGUUAACAUUUAGUGGCCUACGCAAGACGGUCGGUAACUAGAUUGAUCACGAAAUAAUCGUGAACAGCUACUUACGUCAUUGAUAACCCCACCGUGUUCUCGAACAGAGAAGGAGCUCUGUAGGAGACAGUCACGGUUACGCAUUCAGUUGGCAAGUUUCAUUAGAAUUACUUUAAGUUGUCUAGAACCGGAUGUUAACAAAAUAUCCAUGUUUGCCACAUAACCGCGGGCACGGCUUUCCAAAAGAUUAAACCCUGCAGGGGUGCUCCAACUAGUCCAUCACAAAUUACCACAGGCCGCAUAGUAAUCCUCUACCACGAAACUCGUGAUCUCGUCGGAUUCCUUAGAGGAAAACCUCAACUCUGUGAGACUCAAAGUUUCACCGGAAUCCCAAUGCACAAGAUAUAUUGCUAAGGUAAGACAAAUCCAGCAAGACCGCCCGACGUGUCGACGACCCCGAUAAGAGGCACAUAUCUUAGUCUCAGGACACGACGAAUGGGAAAGCCUACAGGAUACCAGACAUCAAGUUUCCUCGCGGUGGCCCCGCAGUGUGCCCAUUUUNNNNNNNNNNNNNNNNNNNNNNNNNNNNNNNNNNNNNNNNNNNNNNNNNNNNNNNNNNNNNNNNNNNNNNNNNNNNNNNNNNNNNNNNNNNNNNNNNNNNACACCUACUUACGUCAAUCAUAACCCCACCGUGUUCCCGGACGAAGAGAGGUCUUCGAAGGGGACAGUCACGGUUACGCACACAGUUGACAAUUUUAUUAGAUUAUGUUUAAGUUAUCUAUAACCGGAUGUUAACAAAUAUUCCAAGUUGCCACAUAACCGCAGGCACGGCUUUCAGAAAGACUAAACCCCGCAGGGGUGCUCCAAUUAGUCCAUCACAAACGUACACGGGCCACAAAGUAAUUCUUUAUCACGAAUCUCGUGAUCUUGUCGGAUUCCUUAGAGGAAAACCUGAACUCUGGGGAGAACCAAAGCUUCACCGGGAUUCCUAUACGCAAGAUAUAUCACUAAGGUAAGACAAGACUAGCAGGACCUCCCGACGUGUCGACGACCCUGAUAAGAGUUGUGUAUCUUAGUCUCAGGACACGCCGGAUAAGCGAAGCGUACAGUGGCCAGAGAAAUCUCCCGAGUUGCCCCGGGAUGGCCCCGCACGGUGCUCUAGUUUGGACCAACACUCAUGAGGAGCACUGGCCCGGGUUGUUGAUUAAAUUCCUCGGGUAGGCCAUUCCCUAUGCAGAUUAUUAAGUGAUUAGCAAAUUAACACCAAUGUUGGGUCCUGCUGGACAAGUCUUAGCACUAUGCAAUUUAUCGAGGGGGUCCCCAUAACAACCCUGAACGUGUUAGGAGCGAUCAUUAUGGAAUCAAACACCGGUAGCCGGUAACUAUGGCGGCAAUAACGGAACAAAACAGCCGGUAAAAGGCUAGGCCUCCCGUUAAUUACCAAGUAUAUAGGUGCAUUAAAUAAAUAACAUAAUUAAGAUAAUGAUAUCAACUCAUGUUAUCACAUGAGACAAGGCACCUGCAACUAGCAACGCUAACAUUAGAAGCUUAGCAAGCUACUUAGCCAUUCAAGAUUUGCUAGGAAGGGAUAAGUGUUUGGGUUUUCAUGGCAAUUCAGGAGGCAAUUAUUUCAAUGGUAGGCAGCGAGCAUAUGAUGGAAGAAACGUAAUCUAUCAUAACAAGUCUAGAGAUGGAAUCAAGGUCAUAUCAUCUUGCCUGUGACAUCCUGAGCUUGGAACUGCUCUUGUUCGUCCUGCACGUACUCUCCAGAAUCCACGUACUUGUUCUCCGACCCCGGUGCUACCCAACAUAAAAAUAGCAUCCAAUGAACANNNNNNNNNNNNNNNNNNNNNNNNNNNNNNNNNNNNNNNNNNNNNNNNNNNNNNNNNNNNNNNNNNNNNNNNNNNNNNNNNNNNNNNNNNNNNNNNNNNNCAUAUCCAUUUUCUUCCAAGCAUAAUCUGCAUCAUGAGCAGUUGCCUAAGCCGUUGGUAGUUGUUUCCCCUAGGAAACAUAUGAGUUCUCGUUUGUUUGUUCCUGAUAUCUCUAUCAAGAUGGGUGGUUAUUCUUUCACGUCUUCUCCAAUUGUCCUCGGCAAGUCUGAUAUUGAUCUGAUCCUUGGGAUGGAUUGGCUGGCUAUGAAUAAGGUAUUUCUUGAUUGUCAAGCAAAAGAAGUGAAGCUAACUCAUCCUUCGGAGGACGUGAUUAUCUUCGCGGCGCGUGAUGACACGAUCCGUCUGUUUUCCUUGAAUGACAAGGGUGAGAUCUCUCCAAUUUCUCAAGUCCCAGUGGUCUGCGAGUAUGAAUAUAUCUUUCUAGAAGAACUGUCAGGAAUGACUCCGCACCACGCAGUUGANNNAAUGCCUCCGCACCACGCAGUUGAGUUCAUAAUUGAGCUUGAACUGGGUACUGAACCAGUAUGCAAGCGGCCGUAUAAACUGGGUCCAGAAGAGCUAAAAGAGCUAAAGAACCAGCUUGAUGAGCAAGAGCGUCUGGGUCUGAUCAGACCAAGCUCAUCUCCUUGGGGUUGUGGAGUUCUUUUCAUCAAGAAGAAGGAUGACAUGGACUGACUAUGUGUCGAUUACUGCCCAUUGAAUAAGAAGACGAUCAGAAACAAGUAUCCACUUCCCAACAUCAAUGAGUUGUUCGAGAAAUUGAAAGGGGCUAAGAUCUUUUCGAAGCUUGAUCUUAGGAUAGGCUAUCAUCAGAUUCGCAUUCAUGAAGAGGACAUUCCCAAGACUGCCUUCAGGACAAGCUUUGGCUCGUAUGAGUACAUAGUGAUGUCUUUCGGUCUCGUCAAUGCUCCACCGACCUUCUAUCGGAUGAUGAAUUAUAUCUUCUCCCCAUUCAAGAAUGAAUUUAUCUUGUUGUAUCUUGAUGACAUUCUGGUCUUUUCUAAAAUUGAGGAAGAGCAUGAAUAACAUCUCCGGCUUGUGCUUGAUAAGCUAAGAGAGCAUAAGUUAUAUGCUAAGUUUUCCAAAUGUGAGUUCUGGUUGAAGGAAGUUGUGUACCUUGGGCACAUCAUCUCUGCCAAGGGCAUCAAAGUUGAUCCAUCAAAGGUGCAGGCCAUUGUUGAGUGGGAACCUCCUCAGAAUGUGAAGUAGCUUCGAAGCUUUCUCGGUCUUCCAAGCUAUUGCAGAAGAUUCGUUGAGAAUUUCUCUAAGAUUGCUAAGCCUUUGUCAAGCCUUCUUCAGAAGAGUGUGAAGUUUGUCUGGUCUCCAGAGUGUCAGUUUGCCUUCGACACACUCAAAGAGAAGCUCACUUCUACUCUAGUCUUGAUUCCUCUUGAUGAUUCCAAGUCUUAUCAAGUGUUCUGUGAUGCCUCUCUUCAAGGUCUUGGUGUAGUUCUGAUGCAAGAGAAAAAAGUUGUAGCUUAUACCUCGAGGCAGUUGAAUCCAAGUGAGAAGAAUUACCCCACUCAUGAUCUUGAGUUGGCAACAGUGGUACACGCUCUGAUGACUUGGAGACAUCUCUUGUUGGGCAGACAGGUUGAGGUCUACACCGAUCACAAGAAUCUCAAAUACAUCUUCACCCAGCCUAAUCUCAAUCUUCGGCAAACUCGUUGGGUGGAAAUGCUCCAAGAUUACAAUCCAAGCGUUGACUACACUCCAGGCAAAGCUAAUGUCAUUGCAGAUGCUAUGAGAAGAAAGGCUUACUGCAAUAGUCUCAUUCUGAAGCCUCUCCAGCAUGAUCUUUCUGAAUCUUUCAGGAAGCUCAACCUUCAGUUAGUACCUCAUGGAUUUCUUGCUAAUCUCCAGAUUUCUCCUACCUUGGAAGACCAAGUCCGACCAGCUCAACUCCUUGAUGUGAUGGUGAAGAAAGUUAAGAUUGGAUUGGCAAAGAGCAUUCCCAAAUAUAAGUGCUUCUGUGUUGAUGACAGAGAUACCUUGUUCUUCGAGGAUCGCCUUGUCGUUCCAAAAGGGGAGCUCAGGAAGGUUAUCAUGGAAGAAGCCCAUAAUUCUCUUCUCUCGAUACAUCCAGGAAGUUCCAAAAUGUAUCAGGAUGUGAAGCAGACCUUUUGGUGGACUCGCAUGAAGCAUGAAAUUGCUCAGUUCAUGAACGAGUGUGAUGUUUGUCGUAGAGUGAAAGCUGAGCAUCAACGUCCAGCAGGUCUUUUGCAUCCCUUGACCAUUCCCAAGUGGAAAUUCGAUCAUGUUGAGAUGGACUUCGGAAUGGAUUUCGUCACUGGAUUUCCGAAGUCCAAGAUAGGCAACGAUGCCAUCUUCGUCAUCAUCGAGAAGUUGAGCAAAGUCGCUCAUUUCCUUCCACACAAGGAGUCUAUCUCGGCAGCUCAACUUGCAGAGUUGUAUACAUCAAGGAUAGUCUCAUUGCAGGGUGUUCCAAUGCUGAUAUCUUCGGACCGCGGAAGCAUCUUUACUUCCAAGUUCUAGGAUUCAUUUCAGUCUGCGAUGGGAACUAAGAUUCGAUUUAGUAGAGCCUUCCAUCCUCAGACAAGUGGACAAGUUGAGAGAGUCAAUCAGGUCCUCGAGGAUAUGCUAAGGGCCUGUGUAAUUUCAUUUGGCAUGAAGUGGGAAGACUGCCUACCUUUUGCCGAGUUCUCAUACAACAACAGCUAUCAGGCAAGCUCAGGCAAGGCCCAUUCGAGAUUCUUUAUGGCAAGAAGUGGCGUACCCCGCUCAAUUGGUCGGAGACUGGUGAGCGUCAGAUUCUUGGGAAUGACAUGAUUGCUGAAGCAGAAGAAACGUGACGUGUUAUUCGGGAUAAUCUCAAAGCAACGCAGUUCCGUCAGAAGAGUUACUACGAUAGCAAGCAUCAUGACAUGACUUUUCAGCUCGAUGAUUUCGUGUAUCUCAAAGUGUCUCCCAUGAAGGGCACUCAGCGCUUCGGCAUCAAAGGGAAGCUUGCUCCUCGUUUUGUUGGUCCUUUCAGAAUUGUUGGCAAGAGAGGCGAUCUUGCAUAUCAGUUAGAGAUUCCUUCCAACUUCUCAAAUGUGCAUGACAUAUUUCAUGUCUCUCAGCUCUGGAGAUGCUUCAAGACUCCCGAGCGCACAGUUGAUCUCUGGGAUAUCGACCUCCAGCCCGACCUAUCCUACCAUGAGCAUGUAGUUGUAAUUCUUGAUGUGACUGAGCGCAAGACCCGCAAUAAGUCAAUCAAGUUUCUCAAAGUGCAGUGGUCACAUCAUUCCGACAAAGAGGCCACUUGGGAGCACGAGGAUCACCUCCGUUCCGAAUUUCCAAAGUCCUUAUAGUCCGACAUCUCGGGUCGAUAUCCUCUUGUAGUGUGGGAGACUUGUAACAGCUCAAGUGCUUUCUUUCCCCCCUUUGUAAGCUUUUCCAUAUGUGCCAACCAUGUUGAAGUUAUGUUAUGGAGGUGCUGAUAUGGUUAUCAUUUCAUGUACAUCUCAUGCAUCAUGCAUAUCUUGCAUCUUCCUUUUUGCUUAGUCUUGUUCUUGGUGUUCUUCCACCUUGGUGAUGCGGUUGUAUGUGUCUUGGAUGUUUUUAUGGAGUGUGGUGUGGGUGCAACAAGGAACCUUCAAAACCUUAGUUGCACCAAGGACCAAAUAGACCCCCCUCUCUUUUCUAACUUAAAAUUUAAGUUUCUAUUUUGGCAAUGAAAAAUGUUCAUCAAGUUCCUGUUUUGGCCAUUAAAAAUGUUCAUCUUCUUUAAAAAUACUUCUAAAUAUUUGUGGGUGGCAACACUCACCUACUUAAAUUAUUCUUCCUUUGUUUUUAUAUUUAAAAGAGGGCCAAUUUCUUUAAAAUCAAUGUAUUUUGCUUUGCUUAAAAAUGCCCCUCCUAUUUUUUUUAAAUAGGGGGCUCAUUGUGUUUUCCAAAAAAAAUACUUAUCUUGUCAUAACCCCUUUUCCCUUUUCCUGAUUUUUAUUUAUUUUCAAACUAUUGUUUUUUUAAAAGAUAGGUAGUGUGAUAUUCUUUUAGUAGCAGAGAAGGAGAGUUGGGUCAGUUCUUCUUCUCAGGCCCCUCUUCUUUUCUCUCGCGCCAGGGCCCAUCUCCCUUUCCUUUCUUCUUCCUGACGCCGUUCCUCCCCUGUCUGCUUUCCGUCAAAGAGCGCGUGAGAGAGAGAGAGAGCGUCGCCGUGGCUCACGGAUGUCGAGGUGUCGUCCCAUCCUCGCAUACUUAAGCGCCAUUGGUGUGUGUGCCUUCUAGGGUUCCCUCUCCCCGCCGCCACCUCUUUCCGCCUCUCCUUUCCUCUCCCUCUCAGGUAAGUUUCACAAAAGGGAGGUUCAGAUUCAGAAUGUCGCGCCGUCCCCCCCCCCCUCGUCGCCGGUGCUCCUCCGUGGAGUCCAGGUGGUAGGGAGGAUGAUGGAUCCCCCUCGACCCGUUCCCGUUGGUAGGGGGCUGGAUCUCCUCCUGUGUCGUCUUCUUUGCGUCGGCUUCGUCGGAGACCCCAGGGUGAGCGCCAUCUCCUCCUCUUCCUUCCCUUGCACUUAACGGCUUAAGUUCUCCCCUGUGUGAGUGGUCGUCGCCGGCAUCGAGCUCCACUUGGCCCGGUGCAGCAGCUCCGUCGAGCCGCCGUCGUGGGCUUCCUCCCGGUGAGUUAACCCCGGGAAUGGAACCCCGACGGACCCGCUUCCCUCGCGUGGUGCUUAGUUGGUCAUAUAGGCGCCGGAGUGCACGAUGGCGUCGUCCUGUGUUCAGGCGGCGAUGUUGUGCUUUGUUGCUUGGCAGCAGUAGCAUUAGUUUCAGAAGAUGGCAGUAGCAACAUAUUCAGAGGAUAGCAGUAGCAGCAGUUCCAAGUGAUAGCAUUAGCGUGUUGUGGGAGCAGCAGCAGUAGAUCGCGGCAGCAACGCAGCUGCUCGAGCGCGCGAACCCCAGCUAGCACUCCCACCCUAUGGAGUGCUUGCGUGCGUGCACGUGUGUGAGUCUGGGCAGAACGACGACGCGCGUGGUAGUUUUCAUCUGGAGCGGAGCCCCUCUUUGGGUAGAUCCCCCUCCUAGACAGACAGGUUCGAGCGUAGCGAUGCGACCCGGAGGUCCAAGGUUCGAUCCCCCCUGACGACCCUUUUGUUUCAUUAGUUUUUACACUCUUUGCGCUAGGAUCGAGUGGUAGCUGGCGAUGUGUGUAGCAGGAGGGAGUCGGUUUGAUCCCCACUCUGGUUGUUUGUUUGUUUUUCUCCUGACUAUAGCAGUGUGUGUAGUUGUGUGUGUCUGUGUGUAUGACAGUGGGCCCCUGCCUGGUGGGACCCCCUCCUCAUUAUUAUUUUUCUUUGUGUAUUUGUUUAUUUUGUUGGUGAUAUUCCUGGUGCCAAAAGGGCAUGUUUCCAUUUCUGGAAAUGUCCAAAUCUGGACUUGCCAAAUUUGGGUUGUCUCAAGAACAGUUCAUGUUCUUGAAUUAUUGUUGUGGUUGGAUUCUAUGUCAGAUUCCUUUUCUUGUUUGUGAUGUUUUAUAGAUGCAAAGGUGGCAGUG
Molecule: long non-coding RNA, 43723 nt
Filed under: Hordeum vulgare
Lineage: Eukaryota; Viridiplantae; Streptophyta; Magnoliopsida; Poales; Poaceae
Description: long non-coding RNA (HVUL_LNC021044)
Rfam family: MIR1120/MIR1122 microRNA precursor family (bases 1379-1466)
Source: RNAcentral